GAUGAACGCUGGCGGCGUGCCUAAUACAUGCAAGUCGAGCGAACAGAUGAGGAGCUUGCUCCUCUGACGUUAGCGGCGGACGGGUGAGUAACACGUGGAUAACCUACCUAUAAGACUGGGAUAACUUCGGGAAACCGGAGCUAAUACCGGAUAAUAUAUUGAACCGCAUGGUUCAAUAGUGAAAGACGGUUUUGCUGUCACUUAUAGAUGGAUCCGCGCCGCAUUAGCCAGUUGGUAAGGUAACGGCUUACCAAGGCAACGAUGCGUAGCCGACCUGAGAGGGUGAUCGGCCACACUGGAACUGAGACACGGUCCAGACUCCUACGGGAGGCAGCAGUAGGGAAUCUUCCGCAAUGGGCGAAAGCCUGACGGAGCAACGCCGCGUGAGUGAUGAAGGUCUGCGGAUCGUAAAACUCUGUUAUUAGGGAAGAACAAAUGUGUAAGUAACUAUGCACGUCUUGACGGUACCUAAGCAGAAAGCCACGGCUAACUACGU
This 496-nucleotide ribosomal RNA is filed under the name uncultured bacterium. RNAcentral's name for it is "partial 16S ribosomal RNA". It matches the Rfam family "Bacterial small subunit ribosomal RNA", at positions 28 to 506 of the family's 1533-position model. The record is from RNAcentral.